This 154-nucleotide ribosomal RNA is filed under the name Corynespora cassiicola. Its description in RNAcentral is "5.8S ribosomal RNA". The stretch from base 17 to 154 matches the Rfam family "5.8S ribosomal RNA", at positions 1 to 137 of the family's 154-position model. From Rfam's summary of the family: 5.8S ribosomal RNA (5.8S rRNA) is a component of the large subunit of the eukaryotic ribosome. Lineage: Eukaryota; Fungi; Ascomycota; Dothideomycetes; Pleosporales; Corynesporascaceae. The record is from RNAcentral.
AAAACAAACUAUUUACAACUUUCAACAACGGAUCUCUUGGUUCUGGCAAUCGAUGAAGAACGCAGCGAAAUGCGAUAAGUAGUGUGAAUUGCAGAAUUCAGUGAAUCAUCGAAUCUUUGAACGCACAUUGCGCCCUUUGGUAUUCCUUAGGGCA